RNA transcript from Zea mays, 3657 nucleotides. RefSeq lists it as uncharacterized. The transcript has 27 exons. The record is from RefSeq and is marked validated. Lineage: Eukaryota; Viridiplantae; Streptophyta; Magnoliopsida; Poales; Poaceae.
AAUAAAGAUAUCCAAUUCUCGUGGCCUCUUGUAUGAAUGAACAACCAUCGACAACUAAUAAGCUCCCAUCAUUACGCCAGACCAGAGCCCACGUGCAUUAGACAGACGGCCAACUCACACCCAGCAUCACAACGAAAAUUAAUUACCGCGCAAAAGCCAAACAAAAAAGAAAGGAAAAUUUAAACAAGUCCGUCUAUACUCGUCGAAUCGCGCAGGCACGCGCAACGCAAACCACGGCCGGACUUGUCUGCUCCCAUCCUCACCUAGUUUCAAAAUUUCCUCUGUUAAACCCUACCCACCCGACGAAUCCCUCGCCAGAUCCAACCAGCUCGCCGGAGGAAUACUUCGGGAGGUUAGCGUGGAGAGAGAGAAGUAGGCGGCUGAGGGAGGGUUAGAGCUGGGCGACGCCGUCGCUGUCAUGGAAGCGCAGGCGACGGCGACGGCGACGGUGAAGGAGGCGCUCGCGGCGCUGUAUCACCACCCGGACGACGCCAUCCGCACCGCCGCCGAUCGCUGGCUUCAGGAGUUCCAGCACACGCUCGACGCCUGGCAGGUAGCUGACAGUUUACUUCAUGAUGAAAGCAGUAAUUUAGAAACUCUCAUCUUUUGUUCUCAGACCCUCAGAAGCAAGGUACAAAGGGACUUCGAAGAGUUACCCUCAGAAGCUUUUCGAUCAUUACAGGAUUCUUUAUAUGUAUUGCUGAAAAAGUUUAAUAAGGGACCACAAAAAGUUAGAACACAGAUUUGUAUUGCAAUUGCUGCCCUGGCUGUGCAUGUACCUGUAGAGGACUGGGGAGCUGGUGGAAUUGUGAAUUGGCUAAGCGAUGAAAUGAAAGCUCAUCCAGAAUUUAUUCCAGGCUUCCUUGAACUGCUUAUAGUUUUGCCGCAGGAAACUUCUAGUUAUAAAAUCGCGGCUCGUCCUGAAAGGCGCAGACAAUUUGAGAUUGACCUUUGUUCAUCUGCUAAUGUUGCUAUUGAUUUAUUAACUGCUUGCAUGGCCAUUGAUCAACUGAAAGAACAGGUUUUGGAGGGUUUUUCUUCUUGGCUUCGUUUCUGUCAUGGAAUCUCUGCCUCUGAACUCGCAUCACAUCCUUUGGUCCAUUUGGCACUCUCUUCAUUGAACUCUGAUCAAUUCUUGGAGCCAGCUGUAAAUGUUACAUCUGAACUGAUACAUGCUACUGUAUCUCAUGGCUCUGGUGCUAUUGCUGAGCGAAUGCCGCUCAUUCAAAUUCUUGUCCCUCAUAUUAUGGGUCUGAAAGAGCAGCUCAAAGAUCCAUCUAAGGAUGAAGAAGAUGUAAAAGCUAUUGCUCGUUUAUAUGCAGACAUGGGUGAAUCCUAUGUUGACUUGAUUGCCACAGGUUCAGAUGAUUCAAUUCAAAUAGUGAACGCAUUGCUAGAAGUUACUUCACUUCUGGAAUUUGAUAUUUCGUCUAUGACAUUUAAUUUCUGGCACCGUCUUAAGCGUAACCUGAUCAAGAGGGACUCUUAUGUAUCAUAUGGAUCAGAGGUGGCAAUCGAAGCUGAGAAAAACAGAAGAUUACAAGUAUUUCGUCCAAAGUUUGAAACUCUGGUCUCUCUGGUCAGUUUUCGAGUUGAAUACCCUGAGGACUAUCACACCUUUUCCGAGGAAGACCGCAGGGAUUUUAGACAUGUUAGAUAUGCUGUUAGUGAUGUGCUACUUGAUGCAACUGAAGUUCUUGGGGGUGACUCGACGCUAAAGCUACUUUCCACCAAGCUAGCUCAGGCAUAUGGGAGCUGCAACAAUGAGCAGAACCCCAAGUGGCAACCUGUAGAGGCUGCUCUGUUCUGUAUACAAGCAAUUGCGAGAUCAGUCUCAAUUGAGGAGAGGGAAAUUUUACCACAGGUUAUGUCACUGCUUCCCUGCCUUCCUCACCAUGAGCAGUUGCUACAAACAGUUUGUUCAACCAUUGGAGCAUUUUCAAAAUGGAUUGAUGCUGCACCAGCUGAAUUAUCUAUUCUACCACCUUUAGUUGAUAUUCUCAAUAAGGGUAUGAGUACAUCGGAGGAUACAGCUGCGGCUGCUUCUAUGGCCUUUAAGUACAUAUGUGAAGACUGUAGGAGAAAGUUCUCAGGGUCCCUGGAUGGCCUCUUCCAGAUAUACCAUAUUGCAAUCAGUGGAGUUGGUGGUUAUAAAGUUUCUUCAGAGGACUCGUUGCAUUUGGUUGAAGCCCUAAGUGCGGUUAUUACAACGCUUCCACCAGAAUCUGCUAGUAGAGCCCUGGAGCUAAUCUGCCAGCCAGUAAUCAAUCCCUUGCAAGAAUUAAUCCAGCAAGGUGAUCAAGUUCUUCAACAAGUCCCUGCUCGGCAUUUAACUGUACAUAUAGACCGACUAUCAAGCAUUUUCAGCAAUGUGAAACAACCAGAAGUAGUUGCUGAAGCUGUAUAUAGAUAUUGGCCGACACUCAAGAGUAUCUUUGAUCAACGAGCAUGGGAUACCCGUACCAUGGAGUCAAUAUGCCGAUCUUGCAAAUUUGCUGUAAGGACAUGUGGAAGGGUCAUGGGAAUGACGAUUGGUGCAAUGCUUGAAGAAAUCCAAACUCUCUACCAACAACACAAACAGUCUUGUUUUCUUUACUUGUCCAGUGAAGUUAUCAAGAUUUUUGGAUCUGAUCCAUCUUGUGCGGGCUAUCUUACUAACUUGAUACAAAUACUUUUCAGCCAUACAGUGCAACUUCUCAGAACGAUUCAAAAAUGUUUCAAAGAUUGGUUGACUGUGCAAUGGCUGGUAUAACUAUACAACACAGGGAAGCCUGUAAAUCGAUAUUGUCUUUUCUAUCUGAUGUCAUUGACCUUCCAAACUCAUCUGACGGGGGACAGUACCGUAAAGUUAUUAACACAAUCAUACUUCACCGUGGCGCAACCCUUACUAGAAUAAUGAUUGCUGCCUUAACAGGGGCGCUACCAUCUGGUCGUCUGGAGGAGGUUUCUUAUGUUCUGCUGUCACUUAGCAGAGUCUUUGGUGAGAACAUGCUGAACUGGGCAAGGGAAAGCAUUAAUCUUAUACCGCCACAAGCCCUAACAGAUGCAGAACGUUUGCGCUUCUUCAACACCAUAUCUGAUGCUGCUUCUGGGUCCAGUCUCCAUACCAUAACAGAUAGAUUUGGUGAAAUCUCAGAUGUCUGUAGACGAAACAAAACAGUGCAGGACCUAGUUCAGAGUGCCUUGCGGCCUCACGAUUUGACCUUCACAGUGGUUCCACAACAGAUGUGACAACUGGAUGUCUCUGCAAGGCAAGUUUAGAGAGCCAGUUCAUGCAUAGUUUCAAGUUGAGAAAAGCCACCGAGUCGGUGUUGAUGCAAGGCUAGCUCACUGUCAUCUUCGGAAUUUUUUCUCUCUCAGUUCAUACAGGUUUGAGUUGCGGCGGCAUACAGUUCAGAUUUGUUCAGAGCAUAGAUAGGUCAGUAAGCAUCGUAAUUCUUUCGUGUUUCUCCUUUGUACAUGUGCCGUAAAUUGUGUAUUUGGGGAGGGAGAUAAGUUGUGUUGUAUUAUCUCAACAACAAAGUGUGAUACGCUGGCAGAUCACGCGGAAUGGUGAUCUACCAUGGGCCUGAUUUUGCGUUGGCCGGUCAGCUUGUUUUUGUAAAGUGAGGUGGCCAUCGAUUUUAUCAUAUAAGCUUAUACCGGCUGUUGAAGGAA